GAUGAACGCUGACAGAAUGCUUAACACAUGCAAGUCAACUUGAACUUCGGUUUGGGUGGCGAACGGGUGAGUAACGCGUAAAGAACUUGCCUCACAGAUAGGGACAACAUUUGGAAACGAAUGCUAAUACCUGAUAUUAUGAUUAUAUGGCAUCGUAUAAUUAUGAAAGCUAUAUGCGCUGUGAGAGAGCUUUGCGUCCCAUUAGCUAGUUGGAGAGGUAACGGCUCACCAAGGCGAUGAUGGGUAGCCGGCCUGAGAGGGUGAUCGGCCACAAGGGGACUGAGACACGGCCCUUACUCCUACGGGAGGCAGCAGUGGGGAAUAUUGGACAAUGGACCAAGAGUCUGAUCCAGCAAUUCUGUGUGCACGAUGAAGUUUUUCGGAAUGUAAAGUGCUUUCAGUUGGGAAGAAAAAAAUGACGGUACCAACAGAAGAAGUGACGGCUAAAUACGUG
This 454-nucleotide ribosomal RNA is filed under the name uncultured bacterium. Its description in RNAcentral is "partial 16S ribosomal RNA". It matches the Rfam family "Bacterial small subunit ribosomal RNA", at positions 28 to 507 of the family's 1533-position model. The record is from RNAcentral.